AGUGAACGCUGGCGGUAGGCCUAACACAUGCAAGUCGAACGGCAGCACAGUAAGAGCUUGCUCUUACGGGUGGCGAGUGGCGGACGGGUGAGGAAUACAUCGGAAUCUACUUUUUCGUGGGGGAUAACGUAGGGAAACUUACGCUAAUACCGCAUACGACCUACGGGUGAAAGCAGGGGAUCUUCGGACCUUGCGCGAUUGAAUUAGCCGAUGUCGGAUUAGCUAGUUGGCGGGGUAAAGGCCCACCAAGGCGACGAUCCGUAGCUGGACUGAGAAGAUGAUCAGCCCCACAGUAACUGAGAAACGGUCCUGGAUCCGAAGGGAGGCAGCAGAGGGGAAUAUUCGACAAUGGGCGGAAAACUGAUCCAGCCCUACCGCGUGGGUGAAGAAGGUCUUAGGGUUGCAAAGCCCUUUUGUUGGGGAAGAAAAGAAGCAGGCUAAUCCCCCGAUGUUCUGACGGUACCCAAAGAAUAAGCACCGGCUAACUUCGUG
This 492-nucleotide ribosomal RNA is filed under the name uncultured bacterium. RNAcentral's name for it is "partial 16S ribosomal RNA". It matches the Rfam family "Bacterial small subunit ribosomal RNA", at positions 29 to 507 of the family's 1533-position model. The record is from RNAcentral.